AGAGUUUGAUCCUGGCUCAGGACGAACGCUGGCGGCGUGCUUAACACAUGCAAGUGGUGCGACGAACCAGGGCUUGCCCUGGGGCCAAGCCGCGAACGGGUGAGUAACACGUGGGUAAUCUGCCCCGAUGACCGGGACAACCCGAGGAAACUCGGGCUAAUACCGGAUGUGGUGCUUGGACAUAAGUCCUUGUACUAAAGGAAGCUUCGGCCUCCGCAUUGGGAGGUGCCCGCGGCCCAUUAGCUUGUUGGUGGGGUAAUGGCCUACCAAGGCGACGAUGGGUAGCUGGUCUGAGAGGACGAUCAGCCACACUGGGACUGAGACACGGCCCAGACUCCUACGGGAGGCAGCAGUGGGGAAUCUUGCGCAAUGCGCGAAAGCGUGACGCAGCAACGCCGCGUGGGGGAAGACGGCCUUCGGGUUGUAAACCCCUUUCAGGAGGGACGAAGGUUCACCGGUGAAUAGCCGAGUGGAUUGACGGUACCUCCACAAGAAGCUCCGGCUAACUACGUGCCAGCCGCCGCGGUAAUUC
This 532-nucleotide ribosomal RNA is filed under the name uncultured bacterium. RNAcentral describes it as "bacterial SSU rRNA". It matches the Rfam family "Bacterial small subunit ribosomal RNA", at positions 8 to 526 of the family's 1533-position model. The record is from RNAcentral.